RNAcentral lists this unclassified non-coding RNA (215 nucleotides) under Hevea brasiliensis (rubber tree). Lineage: Eukaryota; Viridiplantae; Streptophyta; Magnoliopsida; Malpighiales; Euphorbiaceae. The record is from RNAcentral.
UACUUCAAGAAUUGCUCCCCUAUCGCAAGGGCAAUGUCCCCGAAACAAGAGAAUAUGGGAGGCUUGACAGACCGGUGAAGUUCAGCACUUUGGAGAUCAUGGAUAAGGUGGCUCAUGAUCCCAUCACAGUAAGGUAAAACCUUGUCAUCCAUUGCACGGCAUAUAUCACCAACCACUCCAACUGUGAUGGCACAAACCUGAUACUCCUCAAAAUU